AGAGUUUGAUCCUGGCUCAGGAUGAACGCUAGCGGAAGGCUUAAUACAUGCAAGUCGAGGGGCAGCAUUAUCGACAUUAGUUGAUAGAUGGCGACCGGCGCACGGGUGAGUAACGCGUACACUACCUACCUUUCACUACGGGAUAGUAUCGGGAAACUGAUAGUAAUACCGUAUGGUCCAGUAAUGGUAAAGAGUUAUCGGUGGAAGAUGGGUGUGCGUUAGAUUAGCUAGUUGGUAAGGUAACGGCUUACCAAGGCAACGAUCUAUAGGGGGCGUGAGAGCGUGAUCCCCCACACGGGUACUGAGACACGGACCCGACUCCUACGGGAGGCAGCAGUAAGGAAUAUUGGACAAUGGGCGGAAGCCUGAUCCAGCCAUUCCGCGUGGAGGAAGACGGCCUUAUGGGUUGUAAACUCCUUUUAUCAGGGAAGAAACCCCGAGAUGUAUCUUGGGCUGACGGUACCUGAGGAAUAAGCACCGGCUAACUCCGUGCCAGCAGCCGCGGUAAUACGGAGGGUGCAAGCGUUAUCCGGAAUUACUGGGUUUAAAGGGUGCGUAGGCGGCCCAAUAAGUCAGAGGUGAAAUACCGUCGCUUAACGACGGAACUGCCUUUGAAACUGUUGGACUUGAAUC
This 633-nucleotide ribosomal RNA is filed under the name uncultured Bacteroidota bacterium. RNAcentral's name for it is "bacterial SSU rRNA". It matches the Rfam family "Bacterial small subunit ribosomal RNA", at positions 8 to 648 of the family's 1533-position model. The record is from RNAcentral. Lineage: Bacteria; Pseudomonadati; Bacteroidota.